UGCAGUCGAACGGUGAAGCCCAGCUUGCUGGGUGGAUCAGUGGCGAACGGGUGAGUAACACGUGAGCAACCUGCCCUCCACUUCGGGAUAAGCCUUGGAAACGGGGUCUAAUACCGGAUAUGAGCGCCUGCCGCAUGGUGGGUGUUGGAAAGUUUUUCGGUGGGGGAUGGGCUCGCGGCCUAUCAGCUUGUUGGUGGGGUGAUGGCCUACCAAGGCGUCGACGGGUAGCCGGCCUGAGAGGGCGACCGGCCACACUGGGACUGAGACACGGCCCAGACUCCUACGGGAGGCAGCAGUGGGGAAUAUUGCACAAUGGGCGAAAGCCUGAUGCAGCGACGCCGCGUGAGGGAUGACGGCCUUCGGGUUGUAAACCUCUUUCAGCAGGGAAGAAGGCCCCUUGGGGUGGACGGUACCUGCAGAAGAAGCGCCGGCUAACUACGUGCCAGCAGCCGCGGUAAUACGUAGGGCGCAAGCGUUGUCCGGAAUUAUUGGGCGUAAAGAGCUCGUAGGCGGUCUGUCGCGUCUGGUGUGAAAUCCCAUGGCUCAACUGUGGGCGUGCAUCGGGUACGGGCAGACUAGAGUGCGGUAGGGGAGACUGGAAUUCCUGGUGUAGCGGUGGAAUGCGCAGAUAUCAGGAGGAACACCGAUGGCGAAGGCAGGU
This 661-nucleotide ribosomal RNA is filed under the name Isoptericola salitolerans. RNAcentral describes it as "bacterial SSU rRNA". It matches the Rfam family "Bacterial small subunit ribosomal RNA", at positions 56 to 726 of the family's 1533-position model. Lineage: Bacteria; Bacillati; Actinomycetota; Actinomycetes; Micrococcales; Promicromonosporaceae. The record is from RNAcentral.